AUUGAACGCUGGCGGCAGGCCUAACACAUGCAAGUCGAACGGUAGCACAGAGAGCUUGCUCUUGGGUGACGAGUGGCGGACGGGUGAGUAAUGUCUGGGAAACUGCCCGAUGGAGGGGGAUAACUACUGGAAACGGUAGCUAAUACCGCAUAACGUCUUCGGACCAAAGUGGGGGACCUUCGGGCCUCACACCAUCGGAUGUGCCCAGAUGGGAUUAGCUAGUAGGUGGGGUAAAGGCUCACCUAGGCGACGAUCCCUAGCUGGUCUGAGAGGAUGGCCAGCCACACUGGAGCUGAGACACGGUCCAGACUCCUACGGGAGGCAGCAGUGGGGAAUAUUGCACAAUGGGCGCAAGCCUGAUGCAGCCAUGCCGCGUGUAUGAAGAAGGCCUUCGGGUUGUAAAGUACUUUCAGCGGGGAGGAAGGCGUUAAGGUUAAUAACCUUGGCGAUUGACGUUACCCGCAGAAGAAGCACCGGCUAACUCCGUGCCAGCAGCCGCCGCCG
This 504-nucleotide ribosomal RNA is filed under the name uncultured bacterium. RNAcentral's name for it is "partial 16S ribosomal RNA". It matches the Rfam family "Bacterial small subunit ribosomal RNA", at positions 30 to 523 of the family's 1533-position model. The record is from RNAcentral.